CAGUCGCCACGGGAAUACGAAGGGUGCAAGCGUUACUCGGAAUUACUGGGCGUAAAGCGUGCGCAGGCGGUUUUGUAAGACAGAGGUGAAAUCCCCGGGCUCAACCUGGGAACUGCCUUUGUGACUGCAAGGCUAGAGUACGGCAGAGGGGGAUGGAAUUCCGCGUGUAGCAGUGAAAUGCGUAGAUAUGCGGAGGAACACCGAUGGCGAAGGCAAUCCCCUGGGCCUGUACUGACGCUCAUGCACGAAAGCGUGGGGAGCAAACAGGAUUAGAUACCCCCGUAGUCCCUGUCUCUUAUAC
This 301-nucleotide ribosomal RNA is filed under the name uncultured bacterium. Its description in RNAcentral is "partial 16S ribosomal RNA". It matches the Rfam family "Bacterial small subunit ribosomal RNA", at positions 509 to 807 of the family's 1533-position model. The record is from RNAcentral.